AGGCGAAACGCCCCUGGGCGUCUCUGCGGCGUGGUGGCCGUAGACUGAUGAUGCCAGCCAGUA
RNAcentral lists this non-coding RNA (63 nucleotides) under Desulfomicrobium orale DSM 12838. Lineage: Bacteria; Pseudomonadati; Thermodesulfobacteriota; Desulfovibrionia; Desulfovibrionales; Desulfomicrobiaceae. The record is from RNAcentral.